Molecule: transfer RNA, 75 nt
Filed under: marine sediment metagenome
Description: tRNA-Met
Rfam family: tRNA
About the family: Transfer RNA (tRNA) molecules are approximately 80 nucleotides in length. Their secondary structure includes four short double-helical elements and three loops (D, anti-codon, and T loops).
Source: RNAcentral
UGCGGGAUGGCGCAGUCUGGUCAGCGCGGGGCACUCAUAAUGCUCAGGUCGCCAGUUCGAAUCUGGCUCCCGCUA